Molecule: ribosomal RNA, 534 nt
Filed under: Flavobacterium sp. FlavoEI_XT4Fr1BE4_E04_29
Lineage: Bacteria; Pseudomonadati; Bacteroidota; Flavobacteriia; Flavobacteriales; Flavobacteriaceae
Description: bacterial SSU rRNA
Rfam family: Bacterial small subunit ribosomal RNA
Source: RNAcentral
GUCUUCGGACUUUGAGACCGGCGCACGGGUGCGUAACGCGUAUGCAAUCUACCUUUUACAGAGGGAUAGCCCAGAGAAAUUUGGAUUAAUACCUCAUAGUAUAAUGACUCGGCAUCGAGAUAUUAUUAAAGUCACAACGGUAAAAGAUGAGCAUGCGUCCCAUUAGCUAGUUGGUAAGGUAACGGCUUACCAAGGCUACGAUGGGUAGGGGUCCUGAGAGGGAGAUCCCCCACACUGGUACUGAGACACGGACCAGACUCCUACGGGAGGCAGCAGUGAGGAAUAUUGGACAAUGGGCGCAAGCCUGAUCCAGCCAUGCCGCGUGCAGGAUGACGGUCCUAUGGAUUGUAAACUGCUUUUAUACGAGAAGAAACACUCCUUCGUGAAGGAGCUUGACGGUAUCGUAAGAAUAAGGAUCGGCUAACUCCGUGCCAGCAGCCGCGGUAAUACGGAGGAUCCCAGCGUUAUCCGGAAUCAUUGGGUUUAAAGGGUCCGUAGGCGGUUUAAUAAGUCAGUGGUGAAAGCCCAUCGCUC